AGCGGCAUCAAGGCCAUGGAUGCAGUUACAGCCUCGCCAGCUACACCAACUGCCCACCAAGUCCAUCAAGCCUUUUGAUCCCAACACACAGCAAUUUUGCUUUCUUCAGUGAACAAGGAAUGCCUUCUUCUGGACAUGGUGAUCCAAUCAGUCCAAAUCGACUAAUGUCUCCACAUAUAUUAUUUGAAGAUGAACUUUCUAAUAUAAAUCACGAGCAAAUUAACAAGAUGUCAUGCCCCAAGACCCUCUCCAAGGACGUGAUGGUCAAUUCACACAUCAAGCCCAAAAGCUCAAAGUGUAAAUUGAAUAUUGUUGAGAAUAAUUCUAGAAGCUUAUCUUAGCCUCAUAUGUAAAGCACUAGCUCCAUGCCAAGUGCAGUUGCACAAAAAGAAUUGGGUUGUGCGCUCUCAUAUAUAAAUAUAUGUAAAAGAAAUAAGAGGUUUAUUCUAGGCAUUAUUUUUUUGAUGUUGUUCUUCUUUGCAUACUACUCUUUGUUUUCUCUCUCAAUAACUCCUCUGUUUUUAUUUUUUAUUUUUUAUUAAUUCAAUCAUGAUAUCAAAGCUAUGCUAUAGAUUUGAUAAGGCUUUUCAAUCUCCAUAAAGUAAUUUCUUAGCUGCUAUGGUUACCCUUCCUAAUACAGUUGUAGAUCCUUCUUGGUACUUUGACAAUGGUGCAUCAACCCAUGUGACCAAUAAUCCAAACAACUUGAGCUUCAAAUCUAAUUAUCAUGGUCACGAUAAGGUUAUUGUGGGCAAUGGACAAGCUUUAUGCAUUCAAAAUGUUGGUUAUUCUUCUUUACCUUCUUUUUUCAAAACUUUGCAUCACAUAAAUAUUUUUCAUUGUCCAAAAAUUACUAAAAAUAUCUUAAGCAUUUCUAUGUUCACUGUAGAUAAUAGUGUUUAUGUUGAGUUUCACUAGAAUUAUUGCUUUGUGAAAGACAAGAGCUCAGGGAAUGUUCUACUCCACGAAUCAAUUAAAGAUGAACUUUAUCAUCUGAUACCACCUUAGAAUCCUCUAGUCCAUUAUGUUUCUAGUUCUUCCAUAGUCACUCCAAGGGAUACUUCAUUUUCUGCCCAUGUUUUCCUACUGAUAGUCACACUUUAAGUCCAGUUCUAGUGUCUAUUAAAAAUAAUAAAUUUGAUGUCUGGCACUAGAGGUUGGGUCACCCAUCUCUCCAUGUACUUGAGUCUGUUUUGAAGUCUUGUAAUGUCUCUUCUUUGCAUAAUGAAAGCUUAUCUCCAAGUUUUUGUAAUUCUUGUUAGUUUGGCAAAAAUCAUGCUCUUCCUUUUUUCCCAGCUCCAACUACAACCACGAUACCUCUAUAAUUGAUUCACAUUGAUUUGUGGGGGCCUUCUCCUAUCAAGUCUAGUGUUGGUUUUCUCUAUUAUAUUCAUUUUAUUGAUGGCUAUACUCAACUUACCUGGAUUUAUCCAUUGAAAGCUAAAACUGAUGCUCUAAAUGUCUUUCUUCUCUUCAAAGUGUGUUGAAAAUCAAUUCAGCUUAUCUAUUAAAGCCUUACAAUUUGACUAGGGUGAAAGGUACUGACCUUUUCUUUCUAUUUUUCUUAAACAUGGAAUUCAUUUUUGUCAUCCUUGCCCACAUGUGCACUAACAACAUGGUCGUGUUAAGCGUAAACAUUGACAUGUAGUUGAGUGUGGUCUCACUUUAUUAGCACAGACACAGUUACUUCUCCAUUUCUGGUGGGAAACUUUUCAUACUGCCACCUUUCUCAUCAACAGGCUACCCUACACUUGUCCUCCAUAUGUUUUCUCCAUAUAAAAAACUCUUUAGCACCUUCUUGAUUAUGCUUUCCUCGAAAAUUUUGGUUGCACUUGUUUUCCCAACCUCUGUGCUUAUAACACCCACAAGUUUGCUUUUCACACUAAGAAGUGUAUAUUUAUUGGGUAUAGUGAUGUUUACAAGGGGUACAAAUGCCUUAAUUGAUUCUUCUGGUCGUGUUUAUAUUACCCCCCAUGUUGUUUUUAAUGAAACCGAGUUCCCUUUUUCCUCUGAUUCUCAGUUUUAGCAUCGUCAUUCGUCAUAUCAAUGUGUCUACUGUUUUUCCCUUCUUCCCUUUACCUGUACUCUCUCCACCCACCUCCUGUACUGCUCUUGGGUCUCCUUAUCCAAGCUUCUCCUUGAUUAAUCAUGGUGUAGGUCAGGUUUCCCCAGUUUCCACUGCUUUUUCACCUUGUCUUCCUACUUCCCAUGUAUCUCUUAGCCUAGCUCUCCCCUUUCCCACCCUACCAUCUUUUACAACUUCUCCCUCCCUUGUGUCUCCGUCUCUUUCAUCUAAUUCCCAUCCUAUACAAAUUCAUUCCAUGUCAAGCAUAUUUAAACCCAAACUUUCCUACCUCACUACCUUUCUUGCUUCUUCCUUUUCACCUAAAUGUUCUUUUGUUAUCGAGGCCUUAUCUCAUUCUCUGGGGAAGCAAGCUAUGCAGUCAGAAUUUGAUGCCUUAACUCGGAACCAAACUUGGUCUCUUCUUUCUUACUCUCCUUAGAUGAAAGUCAUUGGGUUUUUAAGUUGAAGCUUAAUCCAAAUGAUUUUGUCCAACGUGACAAGGCAAGACUUGUGGCAAUGGGGUUUCAUGAAACACUUGGGGUUGACUUUUUUACCAUAUUCAUCCCUAUCAUCAAGCAUUCAACAAGGGGAUGUCAACAAUUCUUUCCUUCAUGGGUGACUCCAUGAAUUAGUUUUUACACAGCAACCAAAAGGGUUUGUUGAUGUCACUAAGCCCACCCAUGUUUGUCAACUUCGAAAAGUCUUAUAUGGCCUUAAACAGCCCCCCUCAUGCUUGGUAUGAACAAUUGCGAAAUUGUCUUCUUCAAUUUAGUUUUCGGAACUCUCAAGCUGACACAUUCUUCACAAGGGCUCCUUAUUGAUUCUCCUUCUUGUUUAUGUUAAUGACAUCCUUGUCACUAGCAAUCAUCCCUCUGUCAUCAACACCCUCAUUGAUCAUCUACAUCAACAAUUCUCUUUAAAAUGACUUGGCUCCCUCCAUUAAUUUCUUAAUAUCCAAGCUCUUUAGACAUCUUCUAGCCUUCACUUAUGUCAGUCUCAAUACAUCCAUGAUUUAUUGCAAUGCACCAAAAUGUUCGGUGCCAAGCUUGCUUCCACUCCAGCUGGCCCCAAACAAAAAUUGAGUUGUACUAAAUAGUACUUCUUUUGAUAAUCCUACUCUUUAUCGUAGUACCAUCAGUGCUUUCCAAUAUGUCACCAUCACCAAGCUUGAACUUGCUUAUAUUGUCAAUAAACUCAAUCAAUAUCUCUAGCAACCUACUCUGUUUCACUAGCAAGCUUGCAAGCAUGUAUUGCAUUAUUUGAAAGGCAUUUCCACUUUUGUUUUUUUUCUUUUGCCCAACUCCUUCUCUUGAUCUCAUUGCCUAUUAGAUGUUGAUUGGGGGAGUGAUGUUGAUGAUUGAUGUUCCAUUAGUGGCUACUUGAUAUUUUUUUUGUGCAAAUUUGAUUUCAUGGACUUCCAAAAAACAAAGAGUUGUAGCUCAUUCAAGUACUCAUUCUGAAUAUAAAGCUUUAGCUCAAGUAACAGUAGAAGUCACUUGGUGGCAAUCCUUAUUACAUGAGUUGGGAAUAUCACUACCACAAAGUGUAGUUGUCUGGUGCAACAAUCUUGGAGCAACAACUUUGGUUGAGAAUCUCAUGUAUCAUUCUCAGACAAAACACAUAGAGAUUGAUGUACACUUCAUAGAGGAGAAGGUGGCUUGGAAAGAACUUGAAGUAAGAUUGGUACCCACUGUUGAUUAGAUUGCUAAUGUGCUCAUAAAACCAGUUUCACAAACUCAAUUUGAAAUACUAAAGUCCAAGCUUAUUGUGUGUGACCGAUAGUUGCACUUGUGGGGGAGUGUUGAGAAUAAUUCUAGAAGUUUCUUUUAGCCUCACAUGUAAUGUACGUACCAGCUCACUAGCUCCAGCCUCCACACUAGAUGUAGUUACAACAAAAAGAAUUGGGUUUUACACUCUCAUAUAUAAAUAUAUGUAAAAGAAAUAAGAGGUUUAUUUUAGGCAUUAUUUUUUUUUCAUUCUAUUCUUCUUUGCACACUACUCUCUAUUUUCUCUCUAAAAAAUUCUUCUCUAUUUCUAUCUUUUUUGAAUUCAAUAAAACAUUCAACUUGUAAUUGGAAGUUACCUUUUACCAAAUUCCUAUUCAAAGUAAUUGAACAAAAUUCUAUAAUCUUCAAAUCUCAACUUUAAAGCUAACACAUCAACCAAAGUACUUUUAUCUAAUCAACUUCAAAAUUAAACAAUUCAAAAAGGCAUUAAAUUCUAACUUUAAAACAAUGUUCAAAAAAUAAGAUUCAAACCAAAAGUCUUAAUAAUGUCAAAAUCUCAUCCUAACUAUCACUCAUCACCCAAACUGAGAGUGUUUGAAAAAUUAUCAGCGAAAUGGAAUGAGCACAAAACCCAAUAAGGAAUAUUAAUACAAUUUCAUGGAUUAAAUAUUUUCAAUUAUGAUUGCAAAUAGGAUAUAUAAUAUAUAAUCUUUUUCAUAAAAACUUUUGAGUUUAAACAUGCUAAUACAUUCAAAACUUCUCAACCAAACAUUUUCGUAUUUAUGUCAAAACAAUUUCAUAUCAAAACCAAAUUAAAUACAUUCAAAAUACUUGAGCUCAAUAAGGAAUAUUAAUACAAUUUCAUGGAUCAAAUAUUUUCAAUUACGAUUGCAAAUAGGAUAUAUAAUAUAUAAUUUUUUUUUCAUAAAAACUUUUGAGUUUAAACAUGCUAAUACAUUCAAAACUUCUCAACCAAACAUUUUCAUAUUUAUGUUAAAACAAUUUCAUAUCAAAUCUAAAUUAAAUACAUUCAAAAUAUUUGUACUCUAGUUAUCAUAUAUCAAAUGGUAUCUAGCUAGAUUGGACUUUAUAAAUGGGUGGCUAACCUUAAAUUUGUUCCUUCUAAGGUGGAUGAAAUUAAACACUCAAAAAACUAAAAGUCCAAUAGAGAACACUCAAAAGGGUUGGGUGGGAUGAAUGAGUGAUUUAAAAUUUUUUUAAAAGAUUUAUAAGUUAUGCCUAAAUUUUCUUACCUUAAGAAAUUUCAGGGAUGUCAUGGAUAUCCAAAAAGAGUUAAUCCCAAGUCUUUACUUAUAAAAAAUUGAUUUUUUUUAUAUAUAUUUAAUUGAUGCCUUGUGAUUAGUUAAGGAUAAAAUAAUAUAAUUUUUAAUAUCCAAAAGGUAUCUUAACAGAUGUUAAGGAUAAUAAUACUUAGUUAUAGGGAUAACUACCAUAACCACCAAGAUAACCACCCUAACAACCUAAAUAACAAACUAACCAAUCAAUCAACAGAUUAUCAAUAUCUCCAAUCUAAAUGUAAGCAAGAAGAUAGAGAUAUGCAAUGAAACAUAAGAUUUUUACUUGUAAAACCCCCACACUAACCGUGGAGAUAAAAAAAAACCACGAUGUCUAAGACCGCUAAUCUAAAUCCGCUAUUUGAAAUCAAAUUAUACAUAUUUACCUGGUUGUUUUUCCAUAAAGACUUACUCUCCAAUACCUACAACUUGAUUCACGUCUGCAAUGUAACAACCUGGUGUUGCUCCUUAGUAUAUCUUUCAACCACUUCGAAGGGAUGAUAGUCUUCAACUUAACAAUCAAAGAAUCAACAUUUGAAAUGAGAGAAGGGGAAUGGUAUGACACUUUAGGCUUUCUCUCAAACCCUCUUUAAAGAAAAUAAGGUCUCUCAAUAAUUUAUCUCCAAUUUCUUUUCCAAAUCCCUUAACCCUCAAGGGGUUAAAGAGAGGUAUUUAUAGGCAAUUAAGCCUAAGAGAUUUGUUUUUAGAAGAAUUCUAAAUUUGAUUUGCAUGAAAAAUUCUUAGCAGAACAUGUAUGACCGCUUGAGUGGUCAUUUUCUCUUUUAAAAAUCAAUAAACAUUAUUUUACUUUGGAAAAAAAGGUACCAAAUCUCCUUAUACCUUGUAGAAGCCUAAUAUGCCACAAGGUAAACCUUUUUAGACAUACUUGUGAUUUCCUUAUUAGAUGAAUAACAACCCUUGAUCUUCAAUGAAGAACAAAUCAUUAUCUAAAAGGACUUCUAUGACCAAACAUUAAAAAUAACAAAAAUGGCAACACAAAAAAUGAGACUCAAUGUCCUAACAAACACUACUAAUACCAAUAACCUCUAACCCGACCACUAGAGAUUGGGAUCCAAAUAAAUUAUAUUCCCCACCACAAAAUGUAAAAGUUAAUUAUUAUAUCCCAUUGAUCAAGGUAAAAAAGUCAACUAUUAUAUUCCCUUUGACCAAAGCCGAAAGGUCAACUAUUACAUCCAUUUGACUAGGGCCAAACAUAUAAGAGUCAAAUAUUUUAUUUUAUUUAUUCAAACUUACAAAAAUAUAUCUCCAUAUUUUUCUAUUAUAAAUAAAAGAAAAAUAUUCUUUUUUUUUUCAUUCAAAAUAUAUUUGAUCCAUGCAUAAAAACAAAAAUAAUAUUUUACACAUUUCAAAAUAACAUAUAAAGAGAAAAUUAUUUUCUUUUACAAAAUCUACAUUAAUUUCCCAUACUUCAAAGAAGCACUCAAAGACCUUAAAGAAAUUAAUAUUAAAGAAUUUCACCCCAAAGAACCUAUUUCACACUUAACAAAAAAAAAUGACUAUUACUAUUUAUUAUUUAUCUAAAUUUAUAGGUUUGAAAACCCUAAUAAUUUCUUAUGUUAUAUCACCUAUAUUAUUUUAACUUCCUAAUCAAUAACAAUUUAAUAAGUGAGUUUCCUAAUUUUUAUAAAAGUUGUAUUCUUUCCAAAAUUUAUUUCCAAAAUUCUAUUAUAUUAUUAUUACUAUUAUUAUUAUUAUUAUUAUUAUUAUAUACUUUCUCCACCCACAAUAUACAAAACAUAGAAUUUUUUUUUUAUUAUUAUUAUUAAUUUUUUUCCUUUGUACACAAUACCUUUCUAACUUACCCUUUCUAAGACCACAAGCAAUGUCAUUCUUUUUUUCCUCCACAAAGUUAACAUUAAAAAAAAAAUUCUUUUUUUUUUUUUUUUGUCAAAUCUAUGGCAAACAAACUUGUGAUUUUUUUUCCCACUAUGGAGGCACAUACCACCACAAAACCUUUUUUUUUUCUCUCUUUAUUUUCAACUCUCAAAGGUCUCAACCUCUAAUACUCUUGAGUUUUAUUUAUUUAUCUAGAUCUAUUCAUUUAAAUAAUAAAAAUUUUCAAUCUCCAUUAACAAUCAAACUAUUUUAAUAAAUUUUCAAUCUUUUUUAUCUAAAAAUUAAUUUAACAAACCCUAAUUUAGAUUAAGAUCUUCUAAAGAAUAUCUAAAAUAUUCAAAACUAAUUAAAAAAAUAUAAAAUACUAAUAUAAGGGUUAGAAUCUUACUUGGAAAAUUGAUCUCCAAAUCCUAAACCCUCAAAUCUUCAAGCCUACAUUGCCCUACACUCUCUG
Molecule: long non-coding RNA, 7398 nt
Filed under: Vitis vinifera (wine grape)
Lineage: Eukaryota; Viridiplantae; Streptophyta; Magnoliopsida; Vitales; Vitaceae
Description: long non-coding RNA (VVIN_LNC001001)
Source: RNAcentral